Molecule: ribosomal RNA, 497 nt
Filed under: uncultured bacterium
Lineage: Bacteria
Description: partial 16S ribosomal RNA
Rfam family: Bacterial small subunit ribosomal RNA
Source: RNAcentral
GAUGAACGCUGGCGGCGUGCCUAAUACAUGCGAGUCGAGCGAACAGACGAGGAGCUUGCUCCUCUGACGUUAGCGGCGGACGGGUGAGUAACACGUGGAUAACCUACCUAUAAGACUGGGAUAACUUCGGGAAACCGGAGCUAAUACCGGAUAAUAUAUUGAACCGCAUGGUUCAAUAGUGAAAGACGGUUUUGCUGUCACUUAUAGAUGGAUCCGCGCCGCAUUAGCUAGUUGGUAAGGUAACGGCUUACCAAGGCAACGAUGCGUAGCCGACCUGAGAGGGUGAUCGGCCACACUGGAACUGAGACACGGUCCAGACUCCUACGGGAGGCAGCAGUAGGGAAUCUUCCGCAAUGGGCGAAAGCCUGACGGAGCAACGCCGCGUGAGUGAUGAAGGUCUUCGGAUCGUAAAACUCUGUUAUUAAGGAAGAGCAAAUGUGUAAGUAACUAUGCACGUCUUGACGGUACCUAAUCAGAAAGCCACGGCUAACUACGUG